AGUCAAUGUCUGCGCUAAUGAGGUAAAAUACGACUUAAUCCACAGACUUGGCAGAGCCUGCAGGCGCAUGGCAACCAGAUUGCACACAAUAUGCAAAAGUGUAGACUCAGAUUUCAGCCUUAAGGAGAAUAGCUUUCUUUGGCCUGUUGCGUAAUCAGAGGCUGGCAGUCGGAAGUUGCCAGUCGGAAGUUGGAACAAAGGCAUCGACACAAAGGGAGCACAGACUGUGCUCGUUAUGUGUUCGUUGCCAAACGCCAACUGUCAUAGCUCUACGGAAUUACACAAUGAAACAACAAACACUAUCUACAGUAUAGACCACUUAUACCGUAACCGCUUAUAGUGCAGGACCGGAUAUAGUGCGGUCUUUUCAGACUCCCGUUAAUUUUCCCAUAGCACUCCCAUGUAUACACAUAUUGCUUAUACUGCAGUUGCGGGAAACGAAAUACCGGUUACAGUACGGCUGCCUGGGAGUACGGAAGUCAGCGGAGACAGCGAACGCUCCCCUCAAACAGGCGCCCCAAGGAGUGCUCGAGGAAGAAAGAGACGAAGUGGAGGAGAAGGGCACGGGUGCGAACGAACAGCCAGUGAGGCUGAAACCAGAACCUUGAGUGCGAGAAAAUAUCACGGCGCGCAUAGCGAGCGAGGGCCACGAAACUGCCAACGCCAGCUAAUGCUCGCUUCACGAUAACGGCAGUAAACGAAACUUCAGGGAGGGAACGGGCGGCGCCGGCACGGCACGGCGAAGGGCGCACGCGGAAACCUUGGAAUGUGAGGGAGGAGGGUGGCAGGGAAGCAGAUUUCGCCUCGGCAACUCCGCCGCUUCGGUGGCUCCCCUCGCCCUCCCUCGUAGCUCCCUCACUUUCGGCUGUCACCGUGCGCACCCGCAGGCGCCGCCGCUCCAGCCGGCCCGGCGCCAGCCCCCCGAAGUUUCGUUUUCUGACGUUAUCGGGAAGCGGGCGCUUGCAGGCGUGGGCAGUUUCGUUGGCCCGGCCUGGGAUAGCACCGCUACUUCCCUCUGCGCCGUAGCCGCAGCGUGCAAGGUCAACACGUGACUAAAAAGUAGAGGAAGCAUAAAGGAGAAAGAAGGGUUCACUGCCAUUUUCUACGCGUGGCUACGGUAGCGUGGCUGAGACGUCGGCACGUACACGCAUGUUCCGGCGCAACGCAGAAUCGGCGUCCUUGCCAUUUGAGAGGGGGUAAAAUUUCCGCCGCGUUUUUAUUUAUUUUUUUAAAUCUUUUUUUGUUUUGUUCGCAUGCGACAUUGAGGGGUCUCUCCUAAGCUUUUACUCUAUGGCGGUGCCGGAGCAAUGCCGGUCGGAGGCGCCACCACGUGAUUUGGUUCGAAUUCACGAGAUUCCACUGUAAAUUGAAUGCAAACGUUCUAGCCACAUUCCUCGACUGUCGCAUACGCGUGGCGGCUCGGUGCACAUGUUUUGCAUGUGUGUGGGCCUUGAAAACUGUUGCUUUGGUUAUAGUGCGGUACCACCGCUUGCAUAGUGCGGAUAUUCGCGACUCCGGCGACUUACGUUAUAAGCGGUAUACACUGUAUAUAUCCUCACUGCAACAAAUAUACGUUGUCAAGCACAUCAUUCCUUUAAUAAAGCAAAUAGCCUCCUCAAAGUGUUUUGCUAUCUGCUUCCGUUGACAAUCAUCGUUUACAGUUUCUGCACAAAUUUUUUUUACUUCCUUCAUUACUGAGAGCAGUUCAUUUAAAUUUUUCUUUAGGAAUCUCAUUUGAUGGCCAGGUUGUGCAAGGAGUUGGGUUGUCAGAAUGAAAGUUUUCAGCUUCUCACAAUCUUCUACCGCAAAUGUUGUCGCAGCACGGUCAUGUGAUUACAACAGCGCCUAAAAUUGGGAGUUUUUCGGAUAAAUCUGAAUCAUCAA
Long non-coding RNA from Dermacentor silvarum, 1884 nucleotides. RefSeq lists it as uncharacterized. The transcript has 2 exons. The record is from RefSeq and is a predicted model, not a curated record. NCBI's taxonomy places the organism in Eukaryota, Metazoa, Arthropoda, Arachnida, Ixodida, Ixodidae.